RNAcentral lists this ribosomal RNA (443 nucleotides) under uncultured bacterium. RNAcentral describes it as "partial 16S ribosomal RNA". It matches the Rfam family "Bacterial small subunit ribosomal RNA", at positions 338 to 795 of the family's 1533-position model. The record is from RNAcentral.
CCUACGGGUGGCAGCAGUGGGGAAUAUUGGGCAAUGGAGGCAACUCUGACCCAGCAACGCCGCGUGAAUGAUGAAGGCCUUCGGAUUGUAAAGUUCUUUUCUAAGGGAAGAAGAAAGUGACGGUACCUUAGGAAUAAGCCUCGGCUAACUACGUGCCAGCAGCCGCGGUAAUACGUAGGAGGCAAGCGUUAUCCGGAUUGACUGGGCGUAAAGGGUGCGUAGGUGGUUUGGCAAGUUAGUAGCGAAAAUCGGGGGCUCAACUUCGGAACUACUACUAAAACUGUUUGACUUGAGUGCAGGAGGGGCAAUCGGAAUUCCUGGUGUAGCGGUGGAAUGCGUAGAUAUUAGGAGGAACACCAGUGGCGAAGGCGGAUUGCUGGACUGUAACUGACGCUGAGGCACGAAAGCGUGGGGAGCAAACAGGAUUAGAUACCCGGGUAGUC